RNAcentral lists this ribosomal RNA (492 nucleotides) under uncultured bacterium. Its description in RNAcentral is "partial 16S ribosomal RNA". It matches the Rfam family "Bacterial small subunit ribosomal RNA", at positions 29 to 507 of the family's 1533-position model. The record is from RNAcentral.
AGUGAACGCUGGCGGUAGGCCUAACACAUGCAAGUCGAACGGCAGCACAGUAAGAGCUUGCUCUUACGGGUGGCGAGUGGCGGACGGGUGAGGAAUACAUCGGAAUCUACUUUUUCGUGGGGGGUAACGUAGGGAAACUUACGCUAAUACCGCAUACGACCUACGGGUGAAAGCAGGGGAUCUUCGGACCUUUCGCGAUUGAAUGAGCCGAUGUCGGAUUAGCUAGUUGGCGGGGUAAAGGCCCACCAAGGCGACGAUCCGUAGCUGGUCUGAGAGGAUGAUCAGCCACACUGGAACUGAGACACGGUCCAGACUCCUACGGGAGGCAGCAGUGGGGAAUAUUGGACAAAGGGCGCAAGCCUGAUCCAGCCAUACCGCGUGGGUGAAGAAGGCCUUCGGGUUGUAAAGCCCUUUUGUUGGGAAAGAAAAGCAGCAGGUUAAUACCCCGCUGUUCUGACGGUACCCAAAGAAUAAGCACCGGCUAACUUCGUG